RNAcentral lists this ribosomal RNA (296 nucleotides) under uncultured bacterium. Its description in RNAcentral is "partial 16S ribosomal RNA". It matches the Rfam family "Bacterial small subunit ribosomal RNA", at positions 775 to 1067 of the family's 1533-position model. The record is from RNAcentral.
GGAUUAGAUACCCUGGUAGUCCACGCUGUAAACGAUGAGUACUAGCUGUUGGAUCUGGUGUAAAAGAUUUAGUGGCGCAGCUAACGCGUUAAGUACUCCGCCUGGGGACUACGGCCGCAAGGUUAAAACUCAAAGGAAUUGACGGGGACCCGCACAAGCGGUGGAGCAUGUGGUUUAAUUCGAUGCAACGUGAAGAACCUUACCUACCCUUGACAUCCAUAGAAGAACUGAGAGAUCGGUUUGUGCCUUCGGGAACUAUGAGACAGGUGCUGCAUGGCUGUCGUCAGCUCGUGCCG